UCUAGUAUAAGCACUUUAUACUGUGAAACUGCGAAUGGCUCAUUAAAUCAGUUAUCGUUUAUUUGAUAGUACCUUACUACAUGGAUACCUGUGGUAAUUCUAGAGCUAAUACAUGCUAAAAACCCCGACUCACGAAGGGGUGUAUUUAUUAGAUAAAAAACCAAUGCCCUCCGGGGCUCCUUGGUGAAUCAUAAUAACUUAACGAAUCGCAUGGCCUUGCGCCGGCGAUGGUUCAUUCAAAUUUCUGCCCUAUCAACUUUCGAUGGUAGGAUAGUGGCCUACCAUGGUGGCAACGGGUAACGGGGAAUUAGGGUUCGAUUCCGGAGAGGGAGCCUGAGAAACGGCUACCACAUCCAAGGAAGGCAGCAGGCGCGCAAAUUACCCAAUCCCGACACGGGGAGGUAGUGACAAUAAAUACUGAUACGGGGCUCUUUUGGGUCUCGUAAUUGGAAUGAGUACAAUCUAAAUCCCUUAACGAGGAACAAUUGGAGGGCAAGUCUGGCCUAG
RNAcentral lists this ribosomal RNA (507 nucleotides) under Aspergillus sp. N46. RNAcentral describes it as "SSU rRNA". It matches the Rfam family "Eukaryotic small subunit ribosomal RNA", at positions 59 to 570 of the family's 1831-position model. The record is from RNAcentral. Lineage: Eukaryota; Fungi; Ascomycota; Eurotiomycetes; Eurotiales; Aspergillaceae.